This 250-nucleotide long non-coding RNA is filed under the name Pan troglodytes (chimpanzee). RNAcentral describes it as "long non-coding RNA NONPTRT001704". Lineage: Eukaryota; Metazoa; Chordata; Mammalia; Primates; Hominidae. The record is from RNAcentral.
UUUCUGGCUUCUCUAUUCUGUUCCAUUGGCCUAGGUGUCUGUUUUUGCACCAGUACCAUGCUGUUUUGGUUACUGUAGCCCUUUAGUAUAGUUUUAAGUUGGGUAUGUAGCCAUUUGUAUAUCUUCUUUUGAGAAUUGUCUAUUCAUGUCCUUAGCCCACUUUUUGAUGGGAUACUUUGUUUUUUUCUUAUUGAUUUGUUUGAGUUCGUCAUAGAUAUUAGGUGUUAGUCCUUUGUCAGAUGUAUGGAUU